GUCUUUGUAGCUCAGCAGGAUAGAGCGUUCGCCUCCUAAGCGAAAGGUCGCUGGUUCGAUUCCAGUCAGGGACA
RNAcentral lists this transfer RNA (74 nucleotides) under Peptostreptococcus equinus. RNAcentral describes it as "Peptostreptococcus sp. CBA3647 tRNA-Arg". It matches the Rfam family "tRNA". From Rfam's summary of the family: Transfer RNA (tRNA) molecules are approximately 80 nucleotides in length. The record is from RNAcentral. Lineage: Bacteria; Bacillati; Bacillota; Clostridia; Peptostreptococcales; Peptostreptococcaceae.